RNAcentral lists this ribosomal RNA (198 nucleotides) under uncultured bacterium. RNAcentral describes it as "partial 16S ribosomal RNA". It matches the Rfam family "Bacterial small subunit ribosomal RNA", at positions 328 to 539 of the family's 1533-position model. The record is from RNAcentral.
ACGCUCGACACCUACAGGAGGCAGCAGUGGGGAAUAUUGCACAAUGGGGGAAACCCUGAUGCAGCGACGCCGCGUGAGCGAAGAAGUAUUUCGGUAUGUAAAGCUCUAUCAGCAGGGAAGAAACUGACGGUACCUGACUAAGAAGCACCGGCUAAAUACGUGCUAGCAGCCGCGGUAAUCUGAGCGGGCUGGCAAGGC